This 82-nucleotide transfer RNA is filed under the name Dreissena polymorpha. It matches the Rfam family "tRNA". From Rfam's summary of the family: Transfer RNA (tRNA) molecules are approximately 80 nucleotides in length. Their secondary structure includes four short double-helical elements and three loops (D, anti-codon, and T loops). Further hydrogen bonds mediate the characteristic L-shaped molecular structure. tRNAs have two regions of fundamental functional importance: the anti-codon, which is responsible for specific mRNA codon recognition, and the 3' end, to which the tRNAs corresponding amino acid is attached (by aminoacyl-tRNA synthetases). tRNAs cope with the degeneracy of the genetic code in two manners: having more than one tRNA (with a specific anti-codon) for a particular amino acid; and 'wobble' base-pairing, i.e. permitting non-standard base-pairing at the 3rd anti-codon position. The record is from Rfam by way of RNAcentral. Lineage: Eukaryota; Metazoa; Mollusca; Bivalvia; Myida; Dreissenidae.
GUUGUCGUGGCCGACUGGUUAAAGCGAUAGACUAGAAAUCUUUUGGGAUCUUCACGCGCAGGUUUGAACCCUGCCGACAAAG